Molecule: non-coding RNA, 86 nt
Organism: Podarcis lilfordi (Lilford's wall lizard)
Lineage: Eukaryota; Metazoa; Chordata; Lepidosauria; Squamata; Lacertidae
Source: the annotation of a GenBank genome assembly
GCCCAUGGGAUAGCUCAGUUGGUAGAGCAUGAGACUCUUAACCUUAGGGUUGUGGGUUCAAACCCCACACUGCAGGAUUUUGGACU